This 379-nucleotide long non-coding RNA is filed under the name Homo sapiens (human). Its description in RNAcentral is "HSALNT0379407". The record is from RNAcentral. Lineage: Eukaryota; Metazoa; Chordata; Mammalia; Primates; Hominidae.
CGCUGCGCCAAUAGGAUUUUAUUUUUAUUCUUUAAUUUGGCUUGAUCAUAAAUGCUCACGGAGGAGAUGCCAGCUCACGGAGGAAAAUCUGGAAGGUGUUGAAGCAUAGACGCUGGAACAUAAAAUGACUCAUGAUCUCACUGGGAGAAGGGCUGGGAACAUCGUGGGCUCUCUUCUCCCCGCGCUCCUCUCUCCGGGUCUCUGUUUCCCUCAUUCCACGAUGUUUAGUCAGGAAGAUUCCUGCAGCUGCUGAGUUAGUACUUUUAAGAAAGUACUGGAUUCCCUCUCACAAUGGGACUUUGAUUUUUUUAAGAAAAAGGUUUCAUAAGUUUUCAAAUAACCUGGAGCAGUUGAGCAAACUUAAUGUGCAGCGUGGUCC